UAAAUUGAGACAAAUUAAUGGGACAAAGUCAAGUUUAAUUGCAUAUGCAUGGGAACCCCACAUACAUGAGAGGUUGAGACAAAAAGGUAAAAUGAGGCAUAUAUGCCAUCUUGACCUAAGGAAUGGGAUAGGGGCCUGAGGCUUCUGAGGCGAGAAGGGUAAUUCACAGGAUGGUAAGAGGAGCAGAUGUUUAGUAAUUAGAGGUUUGCCCUGCCAUACAAAUAGGUCAUAAAAAUUUACUUCUGGUAAUAACUCUUAAUUUGGGCAAAGCCCCAAUUUAAAUUCUUGAAAGGAGAGGUAAAAGUUUCUUAAGCCUGCAGGGUCUUGAUUGCUAUUAGCUCAAAAUAUUUUAUGUGCCAAAGUAUCACAUCCUGGGGAAGCCUGUUCUGAAGGCCUUCAGUGCUAAGGAGGCUGAGGGAGGCAGAGGCCAAUGAAACCACCCAGGAAAAAGGCAGGAACUGGGCACAGAAGACCAGGGGCAAGGCUCCAGAGAUAAAGAGGGACAUUCAGGUGCUUUAUAGAUGACAGUGACAAAGAAGCUUUCCCCAAUAUUGCUUUGCUCUGUAAAAACAUCAAAUGCUAACUUCUCAUUUCACCUGGAUUAUUCCCAUGAAGCAGGUGAAGCAAAUUUCUAUCAGGGCAGAAUCUUGGCCAGUGUCCAGGGGAAGGAGCCUG
Molecule: long non-coding RNA, 675 nt
Organism: Equus quagga
Lineage: Eukaryota; Metazoa; Chordata; Mammalia; Perissodactyla; Equidae
Exons: 2
Source: RefSeq, a predicted model, not a curated record